UACGUAGGGUGCAAGCGUUUGUCCGGAAUUAUUGGGCGUAAAGAGCUCGUAGGCGGUUUGUCGCGUCUGCUGUGAAAACGCGAGGCUCAACCUCGCGCCUGCAGUGGGUACGGGCAGACUAGAGUGCGGUAGGGGAGAUUGGAAUUCCUGGUGUAGCGGUGAAAUGCGCAGAUAUCAGGAGGAACACCGGUGGCGAAGGCGGGUCUCUGGGCAGUAACUGACGCUGGAGGAGCGAAAGCGUGGGGAGCGAACAGG
Molecule: ribosomal RNA, 255 nt
Filed under: uncultured bacterium
Lineage: Bacteria
Description: partial 16S ribosomal RNA
Rfam family: Bacterial small subunit ribosomal RNA
Source: RNAcentral